Molecule: long non-coding RNA, 999 nt
Organism: Hyaena hyaena (striped hyena)
Lineage: Eukaryota; Metazoa; Chordata; Mammalia; Carnivora; Hyaenidae
Exons: 7
Source: RefSeq, a predicted model, not a curated record
UGAACCUCAAAGUAUCAUUUCCUCUCUGCUUCUGGACCUUGCCAAAAUUUCUGGAGGCUGGAGUACAAAAGAUUGAUAUUUUGCUUGAGGAAAGGCUAUAAGGAGGACACACACAUUAUCCUGCCAAACACAUUACUAUAAAAAGCUUAUAUGUAUCUACAAAGCAGAAAGAAGUGCCAGUUCUCUCCAAAAUGAAAGACUGGAACAUUCUCCAGAAGAAGAUACUGAUGCAGACGAAUUGGAAUAAGCGUUUUGAACAGAAUGUGGAAGAUCACCAAACCAAGAGUGUUUUAAUGAGAAGAGCAGGGUGCAGAAUCUGAGCAGGUGGAGAGGUUACUGCAGGGAAAAUGGUGGAUGGAAAGCCAGGAGAGAAGUCUGGAGCCACCAUAGUAAUGGAGGAGAAAGUUCCAGUUGCUCUGCCAAGAAGCUGUGAGCUCCCAAAGAAGCUGCAGACCUCCAGCCAAAGCUUAUGAAGAUCUGCAAGUCUGGGUUUACCAUAAUCAGACACCAAAGAUUUCAUCAAACCUGGGUCAGAGCAAGUAAAGAGGAUUUUUCUGGAUCGAACAAGAUGAUGAACCAAAUGGAAAAAGACUGGAUCUCUGAAUGAUCGCAUGGGGCCAAACCUGCCCACAUCCCCUUCGACAACAUUCAUUAGGCUCAUGAAGUACAGAAGCAAGGUUGUCAGCUGAAGGUGAAGAUAAAAGGAAAUCUUGGAAGUUUGAAGAGGAAAAAAAUAUGCGUAAUCAUCUGGAGGAGUGGCAAGGGAAAGAACUAUAGAAAUGCAGUGGGAUUUUCCAUCAGUACCAAUGCUUUUCUUGAGUUCACUGCAUAUAUGGUUCUAAACGGAUCCAGUGUGUGCAGACAGUUCAACCUGCAGCUGCCCCAGCUCUCCCUCUCUAGUUGCCUCUGGACCACUCCUUCAUGUCUCUGAAAGGAGGAGGCUGCCAGUAUUCAGUGGCAUCUGUGUGCUUGAAGGAAUUUGUCUAAAAUGACCUUGAG